This is a long non-coding RNA of Mytilus californianus (California mussel), 723 nucleotides long. RefSeq lists it as uncharacterized. The record is from RefSeq and is a predicted model, not a curated record. NCBI's taxonomy places the organism in Eukaryota, Metazoa, Mollusca, Bivalvia, Mytilida, Mytilidae. The transcript has 5 exons.
UAUAAAAGUUAACAUUCUAAACUGAUGACGUCAUCAUUUUUUUUUUUUUGCUUUCUUUUUUCACAGGCUGAUGGUUCUCUGGAUUACUAAAAUGGGAAUGACAACCAUUUAUUUUUCGAGGUACAAAAACAAAGAACGACACAAACACCGGAACCUGAUUUAGUUUGAGAGCCAGCUGACUCAAAUUGAAGUGUUGAAAGUUGAAUGGAUUGAGAGUGUAACUUCCAGCAGCUGCUGCAGAAUCUACGAAUCCAAUUACUACUCGGAAACGUAGUGAGGAGCUUCGAUACUGGUAGACCAAUUUCCUCUAGUGGUAGGUGGUAAUCUGCGUAGGAGUGGUUUCUUCUCACCUUCAACAAUUGAUUCGCCACAAAUACUCGAAUACAGAGUCUCAAUCCAAGUAUACUUGGAGAAGAUGUCAAUUACCACAAGCAGGAAAUUCACACCUGAGUUUUGGCUUUUUAUAUUGGAUACAUCAAUCAAAUCCAUAUCGAACUGAUCAUGUAUUCCUGACACAAUGACUCGAGUUCUGGUGAAGCGUCGUCUUAGUUCCUUUCUCAGACUAUAACUGUCUUGAUUGUGAAGCCAUUUUCGAAUUUUGUGUUUUCCAAUACCCGAUAUACCUUUGGAUUUUAAAACUCUGUAAAGUUUGUCUGGACCUAAAUAUGCACCAACUUUAGAUAAAUCAUAAUAUGAUUUUCUUAAUAAAUCAUGUACUGUUUU